UCCAGACUCCUACGGGAGGCAGCAGUCGGGAAUAUUGCACAAUGGAGGAAACUCUGAUGCAGUGACGCCGCGUGCAGGAAGAAGGUUUUCGGAUUGUAAACUGCUUUAGACAGGGAAGAAACAAGACAGUACCUGUAGAAUAAGCUCCGGCUAACUACGUGCCAGCAGCCGCGGUAAUACGUAGGGAGCAAGCGUUAUCCGGAUUUAUUGGGUUUAAAGGGUGCGCAGGCGGAAGAUCAAGUCAGCGGUAAAAUUGAGGGGCCCAACCUCUGCGAGCCGUUGAAACUGGUUUUCUUGAGUGAGCGAGAAGUAUGCGGAAUGCGUGGUGUAGCGGUGAAAUGCAUAGAUAUCACGCAGAACUCCGAUUGCGAAGGCAGCAUACCGGCGCUCAACUGACGCUCAUGCACGAAAGUGUGGGUAUCGAACAGGAUUAGAUACCCCUGUA
This 445-nucleotide ribosomal RNA is filed under the name uncultured bacterium. RNAcentral describes it as "bacterial SSU rRNA". It matches the Rfam family "Bacterial small subunit ribosomal RNA", at positions 330 to 792 of the family's 1533-position model. The record is from RNAcentral.